This 135-nucleotide non-coding RNA is filed under the name unclassified sequences. Its description in RNAcentral is "Polynucleobacter-1 RNA". It matches the Rfam family "Polynucleobacter-1 RNA". The record is from RNAcentral. RNAcentral also lists the same sequence under 1 other name.
GACUCGCACAGGUCAAUUUCAUGUGCCUAGAGACAACCGGAUAAUAACGGGGACGGAAGCCUCACCGCGCUAGUGAGCACUCAAUCAGUAUCCUUAACAGGACCACGAUCGCAAAUUGCCGCGGUUUGAUUGUUU